Molecule: ribosomal RNA, 305 nt
Filed under: uncultured bacterium
Lineage: Bacteria
Description: bacterial SSU rRNA
Rfam family: Bacterial small subunit ribosomal RNA
Source: RNAcentral
CCCUACGGGAGGCAGCAGUGGGGGAUAUUGCACAAUGGGGGAAACCCUGAUGCAGCGACGCCGCGUGUGGGAAGACGGUCUUCUGGAUUGUAAACCACUGUCCCCAGGGACGAAAAUGACGGUACCUGGGGAGGAAGCUCCGGCUAACUACGUGCCAGCAGCCGCGGUAAUACGUAGGGGGCAAGCGUUAUCCGGAUUUACUGGGUGUAAAGGGAGCGUAGACGGCAGAGCAAGUCUGAAGUGAAAGCCCGCGGCCCAACUGCGGGACUGCUUUGGAAACUGCCCGGCUAGAGUGCUGGAGAGGG